CUUCCUUCCUGUUGGACUAGUCGAUGUGCCCGGACUUUACAAUCAGGAACGAUGCAUCACUCACGGCGACGUUCACAGUGUUGCUACCGAGUGCACAAGAUCAGAGAACGCCGGCGAACGGGUCUUCUGUCUGUGCGUGAGUACCGGCGUGUUGCAGUACCGGCGUGUUGCAGUACCGGCGUGUUGCAGUACCGGCGUGUAAG
This is a long non-coding RNA of Micropterus dolomieu (smallmouth bass), 203 nucleotides long. RefSeq lists it as uncharacterized. The transcript has 3 exons. Lineage: Eukaryota; Metazoa; Chordata; Actinopteri; Centrarchiformes; Centrarchidae. The record is from RefSeq and is a predicted model, not a curated record.